UAAUAAUAACAUAUUAUUAUUAAUAUAAACUCUUAGAGUAAAAAUGAAGAACUGGCAAUUGAUAACUUUUUUGUUGAUAAUUUCUUGUUUAAUAUCUAACAAAGCAAAUGAAAAUAGAAAUUCAGAUGACGAAAAAAUAUACCAAUAUGAAAAUAAAAAUACAGUAUUAGCAGAUUCAAAUUGCAACUUAGAACCAUUAUAUUUAGCUCACGAAAAUGGAUGUCAGAA
Daktulosphaira vitifoliae (grape phylloxera) is the source of this 228-nucleotide long non-coding RNA. RefSeq lists it as uncharacterized. The record is from RefSeq and is a predicted model, not a curated record. The transcript has 3 exons. Lineage: Eukaryota; Metazoa; Arthropoda; Insecta; Hemiptera; Phylloxeridae.